This 894-nucleotide ribosomal RNA is filed under the name Triticum aestivum (bread wheat). RNAcentral's name for it is "partial small subunit ribosomal RNA". Lineage: Eukaryota; Viridiplantae; Streptophyta; Magnoliopsida; Poales; Poaceae. The record is from RNAcentral.
AUGCAGAUGGUAAUUGCAAAUGAUUUGGGACUUGACCGCUCAGUAAUGGCAAUUUUUGACAAGAAGGAUGAGGAGGAUGACUUUAAUGGAGUGGACCAAGGCUCGAGGGAUGUGAUACAAAGUGUUGCAGCAGUGAUUUUUCAAACCCUAGCAAGUAAGAGAUUUAUGAUAAUUUAUCUUAACGGGACUGAUGAUGAAGUUGACAUAACAAGAUUCGGUAUUCCUCAAAUUACCGAGUUUGGGAACAAUAUGGUGAUAAUGACCAUGAAAAAAAGGUUUCUGACCAUCCAUUACAGCCAUUCUAAGGUAGCAGACAAGCUAAGAGAUACUCAUAUUUUCUUUUUCUUCCAUUAUCCAAUCAAUGAAUUAUCUUGGUCACAGUUUUGUGGGCUGCUGCAUCAAGAAGCUGCUAUCAUAGUUGCUCGCAACCCAUGUAUGCUGGACAUCAACCCAACAAUUGUUGCAGAUUGUUGUCUCUAUGAGUUAUUCUUGCAUUAUAAUUUCCACAGGGCCACUAAUUCUGGCUGGGUUGCUCACGCUUCCAACUAUUGGGUAUGUGAUGGGAUCAUACAAGGGGACAAAGCAAGUGAUAUUAGUAAUGCAUUGCAUCGAGAGAUAAAUUGGAAGUGUGAUGCUUCUCCUCUUGAUGCUCUUCUUAAAAUGAUCAUGAAACAUUCACAACCUCGUUUUCUGGUAAUUAAGGAUGAUGAUGUCUAUAAAGAAGGCCCACACCGUUGGAUUUCAGUCGUGUCGAGAGAUGCAGAAGUACAUGGAAUGAAAGCAAUACCUGCAGAGGCAUCAUCUUUCUUCUUGGCAUUUGAAAUAUCAAAUCCCCCAACAGCUUUACCAGUGUCAUGGCCUGAGAUUCCUUGGACUGGACCAUUGUAUAGAUGA